This 21-nucleotide microRNA is filed under the name Medicago truncatula (barrel medic). Its description in RNAcentral is "mtr-miR5562-5p". The record is from miRBase by way of RNAcentral. Lineage: Eukaryota; Viridiplantae; Streptophyta; Magnoliopsida; Fabales; Fabaceae.
UGUGGAGUCUUUUGCAUGAAG